This 73-nucleotide transfer RNA is filed under the name Mus musculus (house mouse). It matches the Rfam family "tRNA". From Rfam's summary of the family: Transfer RNA (tRNA) molecules are approximately 80 nucleotides in length. Their secondary structure includes four short double-helical elements and three loops (D, anti-codon, and T loops). RNAcentral also lists the same sequence under 1 other name. The record is from Rfam by way of RNAcentral. Lineage: Eukaryota; Metazoa; Chordata; Mammalia; Rodentia; Muridae.
AGGGCUGUAGCUCAAUUAGUAGAGUGUUUGCCUAGCAUGCACAAAGCCUUGGGUUUGGUCCCCAGCACCCAUA